UACGAAGGGGGGCUAGCGUUGUUCGGAAUCACUGGGCGUAAAGCGCACGUAGGCGGACUUUUAAGUCAGGGGGUGAAAUCCCGGGGGCUCAACCCCCGGAACUGCCUUUGAUACUGGAAGUCUUGAGUCCGAGAGAGGUGAGUGGAACUCCGAGUGUAGAGGUGAAAAUUCGUAGAUAUUCGGAAGAACACCAGUGGCGAAGGCGGCUCACUGGGCUCGGUACCAAC
RNAcentral lists this ribosomal RNA (227 nucleotides) under uncultured bacterium. RNAcentral describes it as "partial 16S ribosomal RNA". It matches the Rfam family "Bacterial small subunit ribosomal RNA", at positions 524 to 744 of the family's 1533-position model. The record is from RNAcentral.